RNAcentral lists this unclassified non-coding RNA (181 nucleotides) under Glomeromycotina sp. RNAcentral's name for it is "partial contains small subunit ribosomal RNA, internal transcribed spacer 1, and 5.8S ribosomal RNA". The stretch from base 1 to 47 matches the Rfam family "Eukaryotic small subunit ribosomal RNA", at positions 1785 to 1831 of the family's 1831-position model. Lineage: Eukaryota; Fungi; Glomeromycota. The record is from RNAcentral.
AAAGUCGUAACAAGGUUUCCGUAGGUGAACCUGCGGAAGGAUCAUUAUCGAUUUAGCGGACCGAACGUUAGCGAGGUUCUGCGAUCAAUUUAUAUUUAAAACCCACUCUUGAACGUAUAAAAAUUUAUGUAUUAAUGAUAAAAUAAAAAGAUCACUUUCAACAACGGAUCUCUUGGCUCUC